RNAcentral lists this long non-coding RNA (246 nucleotides) under Citrus maxima (pomelo). RNAcentral's name for it is "long non-coding RNA (CMAX_LNC002268)". Lineage: Eukaryota; Viridiplantae; Streptophyta; Magnoliopsida; Sapindales; Rutaceae. The record is from RNAcentral.
GCUCCCAGUUGCAACACUUUGUUGUCAUCUCCUAUGCAUUAAGAAUUUCUUCUCCACAACUUCAAUCAUUGCCCUUUUCUCUUCUCCUUAUUUUUGAAUUAGAGCUAUCUCUUUUUUUCUUUUCUUUUUUUUAAAAGCAUAUUCUACCCUCUUCCUCUCCAUUUGCUCUUGCCAGUUAUUGAAUAUGCUGAAGAAGAAAACAGAAGUAAAACAAAGAAAGAAAAAUCUAGAACAAAGAAAUGAAAA